Molecule: ribosomal RNA, 588 nt
Filed under: uncultured bacterium
Lineage: Bacteria
Description: partial 16S ribosomal RNA
Rfam family: Bacterial small subunit ribosomal RNA
Source: RNAcentral
UGGGGAAUUUUGGACAAUGGGCGAAAGCCUGAUCCAGCAAUGCCGCGUGUGUGAAGAAGGCCUUCGGGUUGUAAAGCACUUUUGUCCGGAAAGAAAUCCUUGGCUCUAAUACAGUCGGGGGAUGACGGUACCGGAAGAAUAAGCACCGGCUAACUACGUGCCAGCAGCCGCGGUAAUACGUAGGGUGCAAGCGUUAAUCGGAAUUACUGGGCGUAAAGCGUGCGCAGGCGGUUUGCUAAGACCGAUGUGAAAUCCCCGGGCUCAACCUGGGAACUGCAUUGGUGACUGGCAGGCUAGAGUAUGGCAGAGGGGGGUAGAAUUCCACGUGUAGCAGUGAAAUGCGUAGAGAUGUGGAGGAAUACCGAUGGCGAAGGCAGCCCCCCUGGGCCAAUACUGACGCUCAUGCACGAAAGCGUGGGGAGCAAACAGGAUUAGAUACCCUGGUAGUCCACGCCCUAAACGAUGUCAACUAGUUGUUGGGGGAUUCAUUUCCUUAGUAACGUAGCUAACGCGUGAAGUUGACCGCCUGGGGGAGUACGGUCGCAAGAUUAAAACUUAAAUGAAUUGACGGGGUCAUAGCUGUUUCCU